Transfer RNA from Anaerolinea thermophila, 58 nucleotides. It matches the Rfam family "tRNA". From Rfam's summary of the family: Transfer RNA (tRNA) molecules are approximately 80 nucleotides in length. Their secondary structure includes four short double-helical elements and three loops (D, anti-codon, and T loops). Further hydrogen bonds mediate the characteristic L-shaped molecular structure. tRNAs have two regions of fundamental functional importance: the anti-codon, which is responsible for specific mRNA codon recognition, and the 3' end, to which the tRNAs corresponding amino acid is attached (by aminoacyl-tRNA synthetases). tRNAs cope with the degeneracy of the genetic code in two manners: having more than one tRNA (with a specific anti-codon) for a particular amino acid; and 'wobble' base-pairing, i.e. permitting non-standard base-pairing at the 3rd anti-codon position. Lineage: Bacteria; Bacillati; Chloroflexota; Anaerolineae; Anaerolineales; Anaerolineaceae. The record is from Rfam.
GGACACGAGGCAAGGGUCUGCAAAACCCUGAUCAUGGGUUCAAAUCCCAUCGUCGCCU